UUAAAUUCAACGGCCGCUGUAUUCCUGACGGUGAUAAUGUAGGAAAAUAAAUAGUUGUUUAAUUGACGAACGUAGGUGAAUGGCUUAACGAGGUUUCCACUGUCUUAAAUAUAAAGUUCAAAAAACUUAAAUAAUAGUGAAGAUGCUAUUUAAAACUGUAAGACGAGAAGACCCUAUAAAGCUUAACUAUAAUCUCAAAUUGUUACUACAUCACGUCUAAGUGCUCAGUGUUAUUUUUGAGAAUGGUAGUUUGGUUGGGGCAACCGCAUUUUAAAACUAAAAAAUGUAAUAUUAAUAUUACCUUAAAUUAUUGUUUAAUUUAUAAAUUUAACAACCACAAAGUGGAUAUAAUGACCUGUCUUUUUCUUAAUGCAAUUAAGGACAAUAAAUAAAUAAAAGCUACUUUAGGGAUAACAGGUUAAUUUUAUCCUAGAGAUGUUAUCAAAGAUAAAGUUUGACACCUCGAUGUUGAAUUAAGUUAUCCUAGUAAUGCAGAAGUUCCUAAGGGUUGGUCUGUUCGACCAUUAAAAAUCUUACAUGAUUUGAGUUCAUUCCGU
This 557-nucleotide ribosomal RNA is filed under the name unidentified. RNAcentral describes it as "Corhiza pauciarmata partial large subunit ribosomal RNA". It matches the Rfam family "Bacterial large subunit ribosomal RNA", at positions 1918 to 2619 of the family's 2925-position model. The record is from RNAcentral.